Molecule: long non-coding RNA, 720 nt
Filed under: Homo sapiens (human)
Lineage: Eukaryota; Metazoa; Chordata; Mammalia; Primates; Hominidae
Description: non-protein coding lnc-EPRS-1:2
Source: RNAcentral
AUAGCCAUUGUUUUUAUUACUUUUUAGGUGUUACUUUCAGUGAAACAGUGAUCUUACUAUAAUUUUAACUGGCAUAAGAUUCUUCUUUUUUAGUGGGAGAAUAGGUGUGAACAGGCUGUGUAGGUCGAGCCGACAGAUCACUUGAGCCCAGGAUUUUGAGACCAGCCUGGGCAACAUGGCAAAACCACAUCUCUACUAAAAAUGCAAAAAUUAGCCAGCUGCAUUGGCGUUUUUCUCUUAUAUUCUAAACAUAUAUACAUUUUAAAAAGUUAUUUGACUUCUUUUUACAUUGCUUCAUUGAAUAUCUUUCUUAAUAAGUUCACACUGACCCGCCACCAUGCCUGGCUAAUUUUUUGUAUUUUUAGUAGAGAUGGGGUUUCACUGUGUUAGCCAGGAUGGUCUCGAUCUCCUGACUUCUGAAGUUGCUUAUCAGCUUAAGGAGAUUUUGGGCUGAGACAAUGGGGUUUUUAUUUUUAUUUAUUUAUUUUUGAGACGGAGUUUCUCUCUUAUUGGUUGCCCAGGCUGGAGUGCAAUGGUGUGAUCUUGGCUCACUGCAACCUCUGCCCCCCGGGUUCAAGUGAUUCUCCUGCCUUGGCCUCCCAAGUAGCUGGGAUUACAGGCGUGAUUACAGGUGUGAGCCACCACACCUGGCCUCAUUGUUUUUUAAUGAGAGGCAAUAAUAUCUGGAGAUUCCCUGUCCUUAGAAUGUUUUCCAUAGUC